Molecule: small nuclear RNA, 86 nt
Filed under: Carlito syrichta (Philippine tarsier)
Lineage: Eukaryota; Metazoa; Chordata; Mammalia; Primates; Tarsiidae
Source: RNAcentral
GUGCUUGCUUUGGCAGCACAAAUACUAAAAUCAGAGCGACACAGAUAAGAUUAGCAUGGCCCUUGCACAAGGAUGACAUGCAAAUU